CGAAGAACANACUGGUGUAAAGCUGAAGAGAAGUAAAAACCACUCUUUCACAUAAACAACUAGAAGAAAAAACCGAUUUCAUAACAAAAAUAAGCACUGUUAUAUAGAAGUUCGCUACCUCAAUAUCAAGGGCCGAAUCGGCCCUUUUUACAACCACCAAAGGCUUGAGCUAUAUUUAAUUGGCGUUGAGAUCUGUGAAUUCAAAUGGUGGUUUUCGGGGAAUUUUUCGGCAGCGCAUUGGCGGCGCAACCCAGAAAUUGCUGCUGCAGUACAGAUGCCUAUACAGUAUAUGCUAGAAAUCUCCCGACAAAGUUAAAUUCUCUUCACCAAUUCCAAGGGUUCCCGCAAAGCACAUUGAAAAUUUCAGUUUUAAUUCUAACAUGGAUAAGGUUAAUUCAAGAAACCAAACAUGGAAGAACAUGAUACUUCAAUACAGGCAAUUCAAGAAUAGAAAAAAUAUGGGGAAUCCAAAAAAGGGCGAUUUUGUUAUGCAUGUUAGAUCAUAAUUGAGAAAGAAUAACUUUUGAAAAUCAUUGAUGGGUUUUUCAUAUUUGCAAUAAUAAAAAUAAUAACGGGUAGUUAAAGCAAUUAUUGAAAAUAUUAAUGGCAGGCAAUACAGUAAAGCAGACAACAAUGCAGGGGAAGAUGCAAAAUACAGGCUGUGCAGUAGUUGUGUUUACAACCCUAUGGGAUAAAAGAGACUGCCCGCUGCCAUUUUCAGCCUACUUGUCCUGGUCCAGUGUCUCUGUGUAGUGUGUAGUAUAGCUGUUGCCUAUUUUUAGAGAGAGGAAGAUGGAGAGGAUUCCUAUUUGAAGAAAAAUAAUAAAUAAAAAGGAUAAAUAAAAGGGCCGAAAUUCAAAUAUACUUUUGCAUGAAUUUGUUUAGGAUUUA
Molecule: long non-coding RNA, 891 nt
Filed under: Olea europaea subsp. europaea
Lineage: Eukaryota; Viridiplantae; Streptophyta; Magnoliopsida; Lamiales; Oleaceae
Source: RNAcentral